Ostrea edulis (European flat oyster) is the source of this 310-nucleotide long non-coding RNA. RefSeq lists it as uncharacterized. Lineage: Eukaryota; Metazoa; Mollusca; Bivalvia; Ostreida; Ostreidae. The record is from RefSeq and is a predicted model, not a curated record. The transcript has 2 exons.
UGUUUAUUUGACCUUUUCAUAAUUAAUACUCUGUGAAUUUCAUUUUCGACUUGAAAGGGCGAACAGCUGUAAAACUAUAAUGUUCAGAUAUGAGAAUAUUUACACCAGUUUGUGUCCCACUCGGGUCGUUGUUUAGCGGUAACAAUGAAUUGACCGAGGGAAAAAAAACUUCUAUGUAAAUGAAGCUUGAUUUCUGGAGGAAUGUCUUCUGAGGGGUCCAUGAAAAAGCCCCGCCCUACAUACCAGUGCACAAAGAAUUGAAGACACCUCAAACAUUAUAGAAUCAUUGAAAUAAAGAAUCAUUUCCAGA